CUUGGGGGAGAGGAGCUGGUGGCGCCCCUUCCUCAUAACCAUGUCUUGGCCCGUCUCAGGCACAGACUCCCGCGGCAGACUCACCUGGAAUAUUAUGGGAGCACAAACACUUUGGUUACAUAUUAUGUGACUAUUCUGAUGCACCUCUAUGGAUGUCAUAUAAUGGAUAAAUGUAGUUCUUGUUCUGAUAAUUGAGAGCUGGAUUUUACCAAUCCACUCCUAAGAUGAAGUGAGUCUACAUGUGAUAUCUCUGCAUUGGAAACUGAAUGAAGAGAGGGACAUCUUGAGGAAAUACCAUUAAAAGGACUUGUGGCCCGUUUGAGUCCCUGCGUU
Microcebus murinus (gray mouse lemur) is the source of this 333-nucleotide non-coding RNA. The record is from RefSeq and is a predicted model, not a curated record. Lineage: Eukaryota; Metazoa; Chordata; Mammalia; Primates; Cheirogaleidae.